This is a long non-coding RNA of Anguilla anguilla (European eel), 1184 nucleotides long. RefSeq lists it as uncharacterized. The record is from RefSeq and is a predicted model, not a curated record. The transcript has 2 exons. NCBI's taxonomy places the organism in Eukaryota, Metazoa, Chordata, Actinopteri, Anguilliformes, Anguillidae.
GGCGGCCGGCCACUCAACAAGACCUCGCCCCUGCACCUGACCGACAAGAAGCCCCGCAAGGGCGGCGGCGGCGGCGGUGGCGGCGGCUCGGGCCCGCCCCACGCCAGCCCCGGGAGCCAGCGCCUGGGGCCUACCUCACGCCCGCAGACCACGCCCGCCUCGGCGCGGAAACACAGCCCCGCUUCAGGUACGAAGAUAACCACCAGCCAUGGAUUUGCUGUCCUGCUCGUUGUUUACGGUGUGAUGAAAGGUGCUUUUCUAUAGUCCGGGCUGCCUCGGAACCCCAGUCCCUUUCUUCUUCUGGUCUCGAAGAGAAAGAGGGAAAGAAAUACCUGCUAGUCCCGUGGACAGGUCUGCGUAGGGUGACCUUUGACCCUCAGUACGUUUUUAAUGACACUUGUGAGAAGCAUCGUUUUCCGGGGGCAGGUUGUGCCAAGGAGUCACCGAUCACAAAAAUUUAAAGACCACAAGGCUCUUCAGUCACCGACUCCAGGAAAUGCAGUCCAGCUUUCACUAAGUGUGUUCUUUUUUUCCCCCCCCCCAAAAAAAACUUUUUGAACUUUUUUGUGUCAUUAACGUGAAGGUGUGAAAAAUCGACUAUACACACGCAUUAUAUUUAAUCAUAUACGCAUAAACGAACUGAGCUCAUUUGUACGAUGUAAUCAGCAAUCACAAAUUCCGAUCUGUGUUCCUGCCGAUGUACUCUAUGGUCAUUGCUUUAACCGCAUAUAUUUUUUUGCUUGAGUGAAUACUUGCCGAAAUAAAUGUAAAAUACUUCUGUCUUAAAAAAAGAGUAAUUUCUUUUUGUGUGUGUACAAGAGUAACUAAGUUAUAUACAUUGCUAUUUAAAAAAAAAAACCUGAAGUACAGGACAUAUUUUUGACUACAGAACCAUGUAAAAAUACAAAAAGCAUAACAAGAGUAUUCAGACCCUUGCAGGGAGUUUUUCGAUUAUUAUUUUUUUUUUUUAAUUAUACAUGUUCCCACCUUUUUACCUUCUUUCAUUGGUCUAAAUCUGUUGUCAGUCAUUUUGCUUGAUUGACAGGCAUGGCGGUUUUCUGCAUAGUACAUUUCCAAGUGACUCCCAAAGUUUUAUUCCUGUGUCCCCAUGCGCUGUUCUCCUUCUCCAUGUCUUCUUGUUAGAGAUGUAAAUAAAGUGAAGCAAAAACAAACUUCGGAAUAUA